CACUUCUAAGGAAGGCAGCAGGCGCGCAAAUUACCCAAUCCUGACUCAGGGAGGUAGUGACAAGAAAUAACAAUAAACCGGCUUAUGCCGGUUUAAUUGGAAUGAGUACAAUUUAAACAUCUUAACGAGGAACAAUUGGAGGGCAAGUCUGGUGCCAGCAGCCGCGGUAAUUCCAGCUCCAAUAGCGUAUACUAAAGUUGUUGCAGUUAAAAAGCUCGUAGUUGGAUUUCUGUGGGGACGGAGCGGCCGGCCGCAACACGCGGUUCGAGCUAGCGCUUUCCCUACAUCCUGCCGCGAACCGUGCUACCAUUAGUUUGGUGGCGCCGGGGAUCGGCUCGAUUACUUUGAGAAAAAUAGAGUGUUCAAAGCAGGCCACACGCCUUGAAUAAGUUAGCAUGGAAUAAUAACUAAGGACUUCGGUUCUAUUUUGUUGGUGUUCGGGACUGAAGUAAUGAUUGAUAGGGACAGUUGGGGCGGUCUGUAUUCCAAAGCGAGAGGUGAAAUUCUUAGACCUUCGGAAGACAAACAGCUGCGAAAGCGUUCCGCAAGGAUGUUCCCUUUGAUCAAGAACGAAAGUUGGGGGAUCGAAGACGAUCAGAUACCGUCGUAGUCUCAACUAUAAACUAUACCAGCUAGGGAUCGGCCAACGUUAUUCUAUACCGACUUGGUCGGCACCUUAUGAGAAAUCAAAGCAUCUGGGUUCCGGGGGGAGUAUGGUCGCAAGGCUGAAACUUAAAGGAAUUGACGGAAGGGCACCACCAGCCGUGGAGCCUGUGGCUUAAUUUGACUCAACACGGGAAAACUUACCAGGUCCAGACAUAGUAAGGAUUGACAGAUUGAUAGCUCUUUCUUGAUUCUGUGGGUGGUGGUGCAUGGCCGUUCUUAGUUGGUGGAGUGAUUUGUCUGGUUAAUUCCGUUAACGAACGAGACCCCAGCCUGCUAAAUAGCGCGCGUGAGCUUUGCUCGCGGCGAGCUUCUUAGAGGGACUAUGAUGCGCGAUAGCACAUGGAAGUUUGGGGCAAUAACAGGUCUGUGAUGCCCUUAGAUGUUCUGGGCCGCACACGGGCUACACUGGCGCCUGCAACGAGCAUAUCAGCUGGCCCGAGAAGGUCUUGGCUAAUCUUUUGAACCGGCGCCGUGCUUGGGAUUGACCUUUGCAAUUGUUGGUCAUGCAACGAGGAAUGCC
This 1186-nucleotide ribosomal RNA is filed under the name uncultured marine eukaryote. RNAcentral describes it as "SSU rRNA". It matches the Rfam family "Eukaryotic small subunit ribosomal RNA", at positions 411 to 1614 of the family's 1831-position model. The record is from RNAcentral.